This 420-nucleotide ribosomal RNA is filed under the name uncultured bacterium. RNAcentral describes it as "bacterial SSU rRNA". It matches the Rfam family "Bacterial small subunit ribosomal RNA", at positions 356 to 773 of the family's 1533-position model. The record is from RNAcentral.
GAGGAAUAUUGGUCAAUGGGCGGAAGCCUGAACCAGCCAUGCCGCGUGAAGGACGAAGGCGUUCUGCGUUGUAAACUUCUUUUAUAAGGGAAGAAACCUACGAUUUCUAUUGUAGCCGACGGUACCUUAUGAGUAAGCACCGGCUAACUCCGUGCCAGCAGCCGCGGUAAUACGGAGGGUGCAAGCGUUAUCCGGAUUUACUGGGUUUAAAGGGUGUGUAGGCGGGCUUGUAAGUCAGGGGUGAAAUCCUACAGCUUAACUGUAGAACUGCCUUUGAUACUAUAAGUCUUGAAUAUUGUUGAGGUAGGCGGAAUACAUCAUGUAGCGGUGAAAUGCUUAGAUAUGAUGUAGAACACCGAUUGCGAAGGCAGCUUACUAAGCAAAUAUUGACGCUGAGGCACGAAAGCGUGGGGAUCAAAC